CAAUAGCGUAUAUUAAUGUUGCUGCAGUUAAAAAGCUCGUAGUUGGAUUUGUGGCGUACGGUGGGUUCCGGGCACUUGUUGUCUGAGUAACUUGCUGUUGCCAUCCUUGGGUGGAACCUGUGUGGCAUUAGGUUGUCGUGCAGGGGAUGCCCAUCAUUUACUGUGAAAAAAUUAGAGUGUUCAAAGCAGGCUUAUGCCGUUGAAUAUAUUAGCAUGGAAUAAUGAGAUAGGACUUUUUUGCUAUUUUGUUGGUUUGCGCAAAGAGGUAAUGAUUAAUAGGGACAGUUGGGGGUAUUCGUAUUCCAUUGUCAGAGGUGAAAUUCUUGGAUUUUUGGAAGACGAACUACUGCGAAAGCAUUUACCAAGGAUGUUUUCAUUAA
Molecule: ribosomal RNA, 380 nt
Filed under: uncultured eukaryote
Lineage: Eukaryota
Description: partial 18S ribosomal RNA
Rfam family: Eukaryotic small subunit ribosomal RNA
Source: RNAcentral